RNAcentral lists this ribosomal RNA (142 nucleotides) under Vreelandella subterranea. Its description in RNAcentral is "Halomonas subterranea 16S rRNA. Bacterial SSU". It matches the Rfam family "Bacterial small subunit ribosomal RNA", at positions 1 to 136 of the family's 1533-position model. The record is from RNAcentral. Lineage: Bacteria; Pseudomonadati; Pseudomonadota; Gammaproteobacteria; Oceanospirillales; Halomonadaceae.
GUAAACUGAAGAGUUUGAUCAUGGCUCAGAUUGAACGCUGGCGGCAGGCCUAACACAUGCAAGUCGAGCGGUAACAGGUCCAGCUUGCUGGAUGCUGACGAGCGGCGGACGGGUGAGUAACGCAUAGGAAUCUACCCGGUAG